GAUGAACGCUGACAGAAUGCUUAACACAUGCAAGUCUUUGGCGAAGCUGUGCUUGCACAGCCUAGCCAAGGCGGACGGGUGAGUAACGCGUAAGGAACUUGCCCUGCAGUCAGGGAUAACAGACGGAAACGACUGAUAAGACCUGGUAAAGUCAGGCGGACUCAUGUCCAGCCUGAUGAAAAGAGAUGCUGCAGGAGAGCCUUGCGUCCUAUUAGCUUGUUGGUGGGGUAACGGCCCACCAAGGCGAUGAUAGGUAGCCGGCCUGAGAGGGUGGACGGCCACAAGGGGACUGAGAUACGGCCCUUACUCCUACGGGAGGCGGCAGUGGGGAAUAGUGGACAAUGGGGGCAACCCUGAUCCAGCAAUUCUGUGUGCACGAUGAAGGUUUUCGGAUUGUAAAGUGCUUUCAGCAGGGAAGAAAAAAAUGACGGUACCUGCAGAAGAAGCGACGGCUAAAUACGUG
This 463-nucleotide ribosomal RNA is filed under the name uncultured bacterium. RNAcentral's name for it is "partial 16S ribosomal RNA". It matches the Rfam family "Bacterial small subunit ribosomal RNA", at positions 28 to 507 of the family's 1533-position model. The record is from RNAcentral.